GACGAACGCUGGCGGCGUGCUUAACACAUGCAAGUCGAGCGGAGCGGCGAACGGGUGAGUAACGCGUGAGUAACUGCCCCCCUCUCGGGGAUAACAGUUGGACACGGCUGCUAAUACCGGCUAGUGGGGGAUGAAUCGCGUCCUAUCAGCUUGUUGGUGGGGUAGUGGCCUACCAAGGCGACGACUGGUAGCCGGCCUGAGAGGGGGGCCGGCCUCAUUGGGAUUAGAUACGGCCCAAACUGCUACGGGAGGCAGCAGGGGGGAAUAUUGCACAAUGGGGGAAACUCGGAUGCAGCAACGCGCGUGCGGGAUGACGGCCUUCGGGUUGUAAACCGCUUUCAGCCAUGACGCGGUAGUGGCAGAAGAAGCACCGGCUAACUACGUGCCAGCAGCCGCGGUAAUAC
This 404-nucleotide ribosomal RNA is filed under the name uncultured bacterium. RNAcentral's name for it is "partial 16S ribosomal RNA". It matches the Rfam family "Bacterial small subunit ribosomal RNA", at positions 28 to 526 of the family's 1533-position model. The record is from RNAcentral.